Long non-coding RNA from Leucoraja erinaceus (little skate), 385 nucleotides. RefSeq lists it as uncharacterized. Lineage: Eukaryota; Metazoa; Chordata; Chondrichthyes; Rajiformes; Rajidae. The transcript is spliced from 2 exons. The record is from RefSeq and is a predicted model, not a curated record.
CGCGGGGAGGAGAGGGCGCGAGGGGGCGGUUGGUCUCCGUCUUGCACCGAUCGACUUCCAUCCGUGCUGGAGAGCAUUUAUAAAGUCAACGAAUCAGUGGAGCGUGAGGAAGAGCUGCGCUGUGAUCUAUCGGUGACGUACACAGUGCCGGCCUGACGAGGGGGUGGAAGAUUGCAACCUUCACGUGGUCCGCCCUGUUUCGACUAAUGCGAUCUACUCAACGUGCACAAACGGAAGAUCAAAUAGAACAAGUUGUCCAACAACAUUAGGCUGUGCACGCCACACGAAACAAGAAGAUAUGUAUCAGACAUACAGAAUGUUGCAAGGUAAUAUCUUGCCCAAACUCAGUUGUAUCUUUCUAUCUCAAUAAAUAUCACAAAAUAUG